RNAcentral lists this ribosomal RNA (793 nucleotides) under uncultured Methanosaeta sp. RNAcentral's name for it is "bacterial SSU rRNA". It matches the Rfam family "Archaeal small subunit ribosomal RNA", at positions 85 to 879 of the family's 1478-position model. Lineage: Archaea; Methanobacteriati; Methanobacteriota; Methanomicrobia; Methanotrichales; Methanotrichaceae. The record is from RNAcentral.
ACGGCUCAGUAACACGUGGACAACCUACCCUCCGGACGGGUAUAAACCCGGGAAACUGGGUAUAAUCCCCGAUAGAUCUCGGUCGCUGGAAUGCCCCGAGAUCGAAAGCUCCGGCGCCAGAGGAUGGGUCUGCGGCCUAUCAGGUAGUAGUGGGUGUAGCGUACCUACUAGCCUACGACGGGUACGGGUUGUGAGAGCAAGAGCCCGGAGAUGGAUUCUGAGACACGAAUCCAGGCCCUACGGGGUGCAGCAGGCGCGAAAACUUUACAAUGCCGGCAACGGCGAUAAGGGGACCUCGAGUGCCAGGUUACAAAUCUGGCUGUCGUGAUGCCUAAAAAGCAUUGCAUAGCAAGGGCCGGGCAAGACCGGUGCCAGCCGCCGCGGUAACACCGGCGGCUCGAGUGGUAACCGUUAUUAUUGGGUCUAAAGGGUCUGUAGCCGGCCGGAUAAGUCUCUUGAGAAAUCCAGCAGCUCAACUGUUGGGCUUUCAGGAGAUACUGUUCGGCUCGAGGCCGGGAGAGGUGAGAGGUACUUCAGGGGUAGGGGUGAAAUCUUGUAAUCCUUGAAGGACCACCAGUGGCGAAGGCGUCUCACCAGAACGGACCUGACGGCAAGGGACGAAAGCUAGGGGCACGAACCGGAUUAGAUACCCGGGUAGUCCUAGCCGUAAACGAUACUCGCUAGGUGUCGGCCACGGUGCGACCGUUGUCGGUGCCGUANGGAAGCCGUGAAGCGAGCCACCUGGGAAGUACGGCCGCAAGGCUGAAACUUAAAGGAAUUGGCGGGGGAGCAC